UUCAUAUUGGCUGCUUUACACCAAAAGCCCCAUAGUUACAUGCACUUUGACACUUGCAUUUCAAAAUGCCUGAUUGUGGAGUUCUGCCAAUACCAGCAAUUGAUCUGGUGCCACGGACCGGCUUAAUUAUUCAAGAUAAAACAAUUCUACGUACUAUCCAAGUAUUUCAGAAAGCAUCAAAAAAAGCUGCAAAACAAAGGACUGACAAGUUGCUAAUCCAAUCCUCUGACUGUCACAGGGUGCGAUAUAAAAGAGAUCCUUUGUUCUUUUAGAGCUGAUUGAGCUCCAUUAGUAUCCACACUCAGAGCCCUGGGCACAAUAUUAAUGCUAAUACCGUUGUUACGGAGAUGGAAAGCCGUUAAGAUUGAACACAGCUCACAAUAUCAUUGGACAUAUUCAUGCAGCAUGUAGUGUGGUGAGAUCCGAUAGCUCUGAACCUUUCUAAAGAGAAAACGAAAAUCCAAUUAACAUCUUCUGUGUAAACCUCCUCAGCUACUUUCACUGGAGAUGACCUUGG
RNAcentral lists this long non-coding RNA (517 nucleotides) under Gallus gallus (chicken). The record is from RNAcentral. Lineage: Eukaryota; Metazoa; Chordata; Aves; Galliformes; Phasianidae.